Molecule: ribosomal RNA, 252 nt
Filed under: uncultured bacterium
Lineage: Bacteria
Description: partial 16S ribosomal RNA
Rfam family: Bacterial small subunit ribosomal RNA
Source: RNAcentral
UACGUAGGGGGCAAGCGUUAUCCGGAUUUAUUGGGCAUAAAGGGCGUGUAGGUGGUACUUUAAGUCAGUUGUUAAAUGCAUUGGCUUAACUGAUGUUUGCAUCUGAAACUGAAGUACUAGAGGUUAGUAGAGGAAAGCGGAACUCACAGUGUAGCGGUGAAAUGCGUAGAUAUUGUGAGGAACACCAGUUGCGAAGGCGGCUUUCUGGACUGAUCCUGACACUGCGGCGCGAAAGCGUGGGGAGCAAACGGA